UUUUUUUUUUUUUUUUGUCUUUUUGCCUUUUCUUGGGCCGCUCCCAUGGCAUAUGGAGGUUCCCAGGCUACGGGUCUCAUCGGAGCUGUAGCCGCCGGCCUACGCCAGAGCCACAGCAACAUGGGAUCCGAGCCGUGUCUGCAACCUACACCACAGCUCACGGCAACGCCGGAUCCUUAGCCCACUGAGCAAGGGCAGGGACCGAACCCGCAACCUCAUGGUUCCUAGUCGGAUUCGUUAACCACUGCGCCACGACGGGAACUCCUCAGCUCUCUAUUUAGCUUUUUAAGGAAGCUCCGUGCUGUUCUGCACAGAGGCUGCAUUAGCUUACAUCCCCGCCCCCCAGUAAGGAGGGUCCCCAGCUUUUGCCGCGUGCUCUGCUCUGUGACAUGCGUGGGCCACUGCUUGUCUGUCCUGUGGGCGUGGAUGGACAUUAGGUGUUAAGGAAAUGAAGCGGGGCCCUGUGGGCUCCUGGGCACACAAGCUUUUCCGGGUCCCCCAUUUCUUGUUUUGGGGAACAACCUUCAGCCUCCAUGACCUCCCCUCAGUUGCGAACGGCAGGUUCAGACAGCCGCUGAUCAGGGAAGGGAGGGAGGCAGAGACACGGGAGGAGCCGUCAAGAGACAACAGUGCAUGGAGUUCCCGCUGUGGCGCAUCGGAAACGAACCCGGCUAGGAUCCGUGAGGACACGGGUCCGAUCCCCGGUCUCGCUCACUGGGUUACUGAUCCGGUGUUGCCAUGAGCUGUGGUGUAGGUCACAGAUGCGGAUUGGAUCUGGCGUUGCUGUGACUGUGGUGUAGACUGGCAACUGUAGCUCCGAUUCCACCCCUAGCCUGAGAACCUCCAUGUGCCAUGGGUGCGGCCCUAAAAAGCCAAAAAAAGAAGGUUUCUGAUCAUCUACAUUUAUUUUUUAUUUUUUGUCUUUUUACUGCUGCAUAUGCUGCAUGGGGAGGUUCCCAGACGAGGAGCUGAGUCGGAACUGCAGCUGCCUGUCUACACCACAGCCACAGCAACACGGCCGCCAAAUCGAAUCGCGUCUGUGACCCACACCACAGCUCACGGCAAUGCUGCAUCCUUAACCCACUGAGCGAGGCCAGGGAUCGAACCUGCGUCCUCGUGGAUGCUGGUCAAAUGCGUGUCUGCUGCGCCACGAUGGGCGCUCCCUCAGUGUGUGUGUCCUUAAUUUCUCCCUGUGUGCCUUCAGGUACUUCAUACGGCGUCGCUUUAUUUUUUUUAGUUUUGGUCACGCCCACAGCGUACAGAAGUUCCCGGGCCAGGGAUCGAACCCACGCCGCAGCAGUAACAAUGAUGGCUCUGUAACCCUCUGCCGCCCGCCCGCAGUGGCGUUGCAGUGGGAGACUUCUGGCCUCCUCGCAGCCUUAGUGCUGCCAUUAACCAUUUUUCUCAGAUCACGACGGCAACCUUACCUACGCUGCUACGAUUUUCACUUUCAACCACCAGUUUUCUCUUAAAGAUUUUUUUCUCUUUUCACGACCGCACAUGUGGCCGAUGGAAGUUCCCAGGCCAGGGGCUGAAUCCGAGCAGCAGCUGCCGGCUUACGCUACCGUCACAGCACAGCCGGAUUCUUAACCCACUGAGUGAGGCCGGGGAUCGAGCCUGAAUCCUCACGGAUCCUAGUCAGGUUCUGAAUCCACGGAGUCACAGUGGGAAGUCCCCGAUAGCUCGUGUUAAGUGAUUUAGUAUGGCAUUCUUUGGUGUGGCUUAUUCAUGUUUGUUUUGCACGGGGUUUGUUCCAAUGUUUGAGCCUCUGGGCAGCCUCCCCUGGGUCAGAGCCCCAACUCUGUCUGGAACAGGUUUCAGUAGGGCCGCUCUGAGGGGCCCGUAGAGCAGAGGUGUUGAGCUCAGCUGGCUCUGGUGCUGGGUAGGCCUUCCUCCUGGGUGCCCUUGGAGCUGGAGGACCUGCUGGAACACACAGCCCCGGACGAGCCGGCACACUCUGGGUCCCUUUUGUGUGUGUGUGUGUGCGUGGUUUUUUUUUUUUUUUUUUUUUUUUGCUUUUUUUUUCAGGGCUGCACCUGCGGCAUAUAGAGGUUCCCAGGCUAGGGGUCAAAUCAGCGAUGCAGCUGCCGGCCUGCACCAUAGCUACAGCAACACGGGAUCCAAGCCCUGUCUGUGACCUACACCACAGCUCCCGGCAACGCCGGAUCCUUAACCCACGGAGCGAGGCCAGAGAUGGAACCUGCAACCUCACGGUUCCUAGUCGGAUCCAUUUCCGCUGUGCCACGACGGGAGCUCCCUUUGUGUGCGUUUUGAGUGAGUCCCACACGGGUGGCUUCGGUAUCUUAGUGAUGGAAGCAGGGGCAGGGUGCAUGGCCUGCUCACCUGAGGCAGAGGGGCUUCCACUGCUGAGCUUGGAGAUGGAGGGGCAGGUAUGGCAGCUGGGGGCACACUGGGCUCAGCGGGGGGCAGCACCCAGGGCUGUGGUGAGCAGAGGGUGGGCUGCGUGAGUCCAGCUCAGGAAAGAGCUCUGGGCCAGCCUUCGAAUUUGGGAGCUGGUGUCUUCAUGGAAUUUAAAUUGAGCCCUGGGGACUGAGCGUGCCCAGAAAAAAGGUGGGGACUGAGUCCGCGUGGACCCUUGAGCCGGGGGAAGGUGAGGGGUGGGCGAAAACAGCCUGGGUGCCUUUAUCUCCCGGCCAGGGGAUGGGUGUGGGUCUCCCCGCCUCCGAAUUCAGUUCUAGACAAUCAAGGCUUUAACUAAGAAGCGGAGCCAGAGAAAGCCCUGGGCGGGAGUUCCCUGGUGGUGCAGCGGCUUAAGAACCCGGUGUUGUCCCUGCUGCGGUGUGGGGUGGGUCCCUGGGUGUCAGCCGAGCCCAGCGGACGGAAGUGAGAUGUCACAGGGCCCAGGUGCCACUCCUGACUCACGCAGGCGUGACCUCUGUGACCUUGUGAGCUCACUUGGCUUCUGUGCCUCCGCUCCCUGUCUGGAAGAUGGGGCGAUGGCGCCACCACCUUCUGGGCUAAAUGAGCUGAUGACGGCCCAGCAUGCGGGACUCCCUGGGGGCGGGACUCCCUGGGGGGCGGCUGUCGUUAUCACCACUGCCCUUUGGGGUGUUUGUUGUCACAACUCAGAGCGGGCCAGGCCCUGCCUGCCAGGAAACCCAGAGGCCAGAAGCCUGGGUGAGGGGGGAGUCUGGUGACCUGCAAUUAAAAAAUGUUUCAUUCGUUUUUAAAAAUGUUUUCCAUGUGUAUUUGGGUAAAACCCCAACAGGCAAAGUUGAAAGGCUCUGACAAACUCGGAAGGAGUAGCAAUCACAGGAAGCUUCAUCCCCUGACAUCCAAGGACCUCCUGUAAAUAGGGAUUCAGAAAAUGUCUUGGGUCCCUGCUGUGGCUCAGCCGGUUCCGGGCCCGACACAGUGUCUGUGAGGACGCGGGUAGGAUGCCUGGCCUUGCUCAGUGGGUUAAGGAUCCAGUGUUGUCACAGCUGCAGCAUAGGUCCCAGAUGCAGCUCGGAUUCCGGUGCGGCCUUAAAAAAAGAAAAAGAAACAGAAAAGUUCUUUUUGUUUGGCUGUACCUGUGGCCUGCAGACCACGUGAAGGAGCUCCUGGGGCUCAAACCUAUACCCGCGCAGCGACAACAUCAGGUCCUUAACCCUCUGAGCCACCAGGGAACUCCAGUAAUUUUGAAAGCUAGCCCCACAGAAGCAUCGGCGCCUGAGAGAAGCAACAGUUCAGAGGGAAGGAAAUUCAGCUGGUCCUUGAACAGCAAGGGGGCUGAGGUGCUAACCCCGCUGCACUAGAAGGUCCACGUGUCACGUUUGCCUCCCCCAGAAUUAACGGCGAGCAGCCUACCCACAGCUGCCUCACCGACAGCACGGACAGGCGGUGAACACGUGUGUUGUGUGCCAUAGGUGCCUCAAAGCCAUGUGGUCGGAAGGCCAGUUGUACAACGGGCCUCAGCCUCUGGGGCCUGUUCACGGCUGGGAGUCCAGCUGCCCCCUCUCACAGGCGAGACGACCAGGCUGAAGCUUUCCCACACCCUCGACUCUGUCGCCCAGGAGAACGGGGACAGGGGCCCCGCACGCGGUGCUGGACGGAUGCGGGGAACGUGCUGGCGAUCCCGGAUGUCAGGGCCACACAGGCAGCCUGUGGACGUUCCCAGGCUAGGGGUCAAAUCGGAGCUACAGCUGAGGCCUACACCCCAGCCACGGCAACACCGCAUCCGAGCCGCUUCUGCAAACCACGCCAGAUUCUGCAAACCACGCCGCAGCUCUGCAGCCACGCCAGAUUCUCCACCCGCCGAGUGAGGCCAGGAAUCGAAACCUGAAUCCGCAUGGAGACUACGUUGGGGCCUUAACCUGCUGAGCCACAGCGGGGACUCCCAUAACUUCUAGUUCACCUGCUUCCAUGGUGUCGAGGCAAUUAAGUCUUCUCUUUCUUCUGACGUCAGUUUGCUGUAUCUUUUUCUACGAAAUUGUUCAUUUCAAAUACAGUUUCAAAUUACUUAGCC
This 4468-nucleotide long non-coding RNA is filed under the name Sus scrofa (pig). RNAcentral describes it as "lncRNA (ENSSSCG00065058442.1)". The record is from RNAcentral. Lineage: Eukaryota; Metazoa; Chordata; Mammalia; Artiodactyla; Suidae.